AACGAACGCUGGCGGCAUGCCUAACACAUGCAAGUCGAACGGGAUCCUGGUUUCGGCCAGGUGAGAGUGGCGGACGGGUGAGUAACGCGUGGGAACCUGCCCAGUGGUGGGGGAUAACUGCGGGAAACUGCAGCUAAUACCGCAUGAGCCCGCAAGGGGAAAGAUUGAUCGCCAUUGGAGGGGCCCGCGUUCGAUUAGGUAGUUGGUGAGGUAACGGCUCACCAAGCCUACGAUCGAUAGCUGGUCUGAGAGGAUGAUCAGCCACACUGGGACUGAGAUACGGCCCAGACUCCUACGGGAGGCAGCAGUGGGGAAUAUUGGACAAUGGGGGCAACCCUGAUCCAGCAAUGCCGCGUGAGUGAUGAAGGCCUU
This 372-nucleotide ribosomal RNA is filed under the name uncultured bacterium. RNAcentral's name for it is "bacterial SSU rRNA". It matches the Rfam family "Bacterial small subunit ribosomal RNA", at positions 29 to 418 of the family's 1533-position model. The record is from RNAcentral.